This 498-nucleotide ribosomal RNA is filed under the name uncultured bacterium. RNAcentral describes it as "partial 16S ribosomal RNA". It matches the Rfam family "Bacterial small subunit ribosomal RNA", at positions 29 to 523 of the family's 1533-position model. The record is from RNAcentral.
AUUGAACGCUGGCGGCAUGCCUUACACAUGCAAGUCGAACGGUAACGCGGGGCAACCUGGCGACGAGUGGCGAACGGGUGAGUAAUGCAUCGGAACGUGCCCAGUAGUGGGGGAUAGCCCGGCGAAAGCCGGAUUAAUACCGCAUACGACCUAAGGGUGAAAGGGGGGGAUCGCAAGACCUCUCGCUAUUGGAGCGGCCGAUGUCAGAUUAGGAAGUUGGUGGGGUAAAGGCCUACCAAGCCGACGAUCUGUAGCUGGUCUGAGAGGACGACCAGCCACACUGGGACUGAGACACGGCCCAGACUCCUACGGGAGGCAGCAGUGGGGAAUUUUGGACAAUGGACGCAAGUCUGAUCCAGCCAUGCCGCGUGCGGGAAGAAGGCCUUCGGGUUGUAAACCGCUUUUGUCAGGGAAGAAAUCUUCUGGGUUAAUACCUCGGGAGGAUGACGGUACCUGAAGAAUAAGCACCGGCUAACUACGUGCCAGCCGCCGCAGUAA